GACGAACGCUGGCGGCGUGCUUAACACAUGCAAGUCGAACGGAAAGGCCCUGCUUUUGUGGGGUGCUCGAGUGGCGAACGGGUGAGUAACACGUGAGUAACCUGCCCUUGACUUUGGGAUAACUUCAGGAAACUGGGGCUAAUACCGGAUAGGAGCUCCUGCUGCAUGGUGGGGGUUGGAAAGUUUCGGCGGUUGGGGAUGGACUCGCGGCUUAUCAGCUUGUUGGUGGGGUAGUGGCUUACCAAGGCUUUGACGGGUAGCCGGCCUGAGAGGGUGACCGGCCAAAAUGGGACUGGAGUACGGCCCAGGCUCCUACGGGGGGCAAGAGGGGGGAAUAUUGCACAAUGGGCGGAAGCCUGAUGCAGCAACGCCGCGUGCGGGAUGACGGCCUUCGGGUUGUAAACCGCUUUCGCCUGUGACGAAGCGUGAGUGACGGUAAUGGGUAAAGAAGCACCGGCUAACUACGUG
This 468-nucleotide ribosomal RNA is filed under the name uncultured bacterium. RNAcentral's name for it is "partial 16S ribosomal RNA". It matches the Rfam family "Bacterial small subunit ribosomal RNA", at positions 28 to 507 of the family's 1533-position model. The record is from RNAcentral.